RNAcentral lists this ribosomal RNA (253 nucleotides) under uncultured bacterium. RNAcentral's name for it is "partial 16S ribosomal RNA". It matches the Rfam family "Bacterial small subunit ribosomal RNA", at positions 524 to 776 of the family's 1533-position model. The record is from RNAcentral.
UACGUAGGGUGCAAGCGUUAUCCGGAAUUAUUGGGCGUAAAGAGCUCGUAGGCGGUUUGUCGCGUCUGCUGUGAAAACCCGAGGCUCAACCUCGGGCCUGCAGUGGGUACGGGCAAACUAGAGUGCGGUAGGGGAGAUUGGAAUUCCUGGUGUAGCGGUGGAAUGCGCAGAUAUCAGGAGGAACACCGAUGGCGAAGGCAGAUCUCUGGGCCGUAACUGACGCUGAGGAGCGAAAGCGUGGGGAGCAAACAGG